RNAcentral lists this long non-coding RNA (1065 nucleotides) under Mytilus galloprovincialis (Mediterranean mussel). Lineage: Eukaryota; Metazoa; Mollusca; Bivalvia; Mytilida; Mytilidae. The record is from RNAcentral.
CAAAUAAAUUAUGUUUAUUAUCACAUAAUAUUUACAGGUUAACAAAGCAAAAGAUAAUAUUUUACACAUUUCUAUCAUUUUGCAGAAAAUGCACCUAUUUAACAAGUUAAGUCUAUUAAACAAGUAGUCUAUUAAAAUCAAUAUAUACUUUGAACAUGUAUCAUUCUUUUACCUCAAGAGAAAUAGAAGGCUAAUUUCAGAAAUGGAAACAUAAAGUAAAGAUUUGAAACAAAAAUAGUUCCCUACCACAAAGUCUAUUUUUGUGUGAAAAUAAAACUGCAGCUAAAGGAAUGAUACAUUGUACAUCAAACAAAACAAUUCAAAUUCUAUAAUCUAACAGAUUUUUUUUCGCUUUAUCCAAGACAUCAUUCUAAAUCAAAGAGCUGAAAGCUCUGAAGAAAAAUGACGCCACUGUCUCUAAUAUUGGGAUAGUUUUUAUGCAAGUCUUGAUUUUCACAUACCGUAAUUAGUUUAAUAAUGCAACAUGUAUCGUGAGCAUAUAAUUGAUAUUCGUAUAUGUGUGUGUGUGUGAAGUGAAGGUGACAACUGGCUGGUUUUUUAAGACAAAUGAAUAGGUCAAGACUAGCUGAAUUGUACAAAUAAAUACCGUAGAAAGGCUUGUAUAUUUCUCACUGGUACAUAGUCUGAAUCUGGGUCCGUUCGCUUCCAUUCACGUUUGCGCCCACUCAUUUUCACCCCUUUCACUUUCACACCCUACAUGUUCGCACCCAAUCUUAAUUGGUUUUGUGUUUAAUAACUCUGUAAGCAAGUGUUUUCUUAUAAGUAUAAUUGUUGUCAUUGUCUCAAAAUAAAGCGAGACAGCAAUUUUUUUUUUUGUGUUGAAUAAAUCUUAAUCAUGUUUUGGAUAAGGUAUUGCUAAAAAUAAUAAUAAUCCUUUCUAAAUAAAGUGGUAUUUUGUCAACGUUUUAUUUUGUGUUGAAUAACUCUUAAUCAUGUUUUGGUUAGUGUAUUGCUAUAACUUGUUUCAUUGACUUGUUUCAAAAUGAAGUGAGAUUCUGACUAUGUUUGUUUCUGCGUGUUGAAUAAAUUUUAUCAUGUUUUGGU